CGUCUUGUGUUGCAUCAAAAUCAGACGGUGGCAAAGGCAAACCAUCCGGUAUGGUCUCAAACCGGAAAUCAGGCAGGCCUUCAACAGAGUCCGGUCCUCUGGACCGGAUUAAUCGCCUGUGGUUGAACUCAGUGUUAACGAAGGUUAUGUGAAAGCCUCUUGAGUGCAAAAGCUUGGCUAGGUGCAUCAUAGGGGUAACAUGGCCCUGUGAUGGAUAGGGAACACAUACUGCAUGUGGUUUUCUGGCUCCAGUAGAACUCAUGUUUUCUCUGAGGCACUGAAAUGAAAUGCUUUCCUGGUUUUUCUUGGCCCAAGAACAAAAGAGAUGUACUAGUCCACGAGCAUCUUUUGAUGAUGAAAUUAUCAGACUGGGUCCCCUAUAUUUUCUAGUUGAUGCAUCACAACGUGAUUGGCCUGCGGCACUGAAUCCCAAUUAGAUGGGACGAUAACUUUAAUCUUCAUGUCACAAGCUCCAAGGUGCUUCUGGAGUGGGUUAUGCUGAAGCUUUUCCGAAUAUUAUUUUUAUUCUUAAAAAAUGGGAAGAUUCACUCACGAGUGCUUUAGCAACCACAUGCUAGAAAUCACCCGAGGAUGAUUAAUAAUGUCGAACUCGAUGUUGUGAUGACGUAGAAAGUAAUGUAAGAUAUCAAACGUUCAAUGAAUUUCCUAGUAGCAGACGUGCGUGCUGUGGAAUUGAUUCCUAUCUUCUUGUCCCCGUUUUUGUAUGCUUGUGUGAGGUGGGGUACUGGAGCUUUUCUAUUGGCCAGCUGAUAGCAACUGAUCAAGCAGAUGACCAGCCAAAAACGAGGACAAUGAUUGGAUGAGGUAGAUGCGAUAGAGCACAUUUAACUUAACUAGAGUUAGGUGGCUGGCAGGUUAAAUCAUCACUUGAUUGCUCCGCAAAAUAAGGUAAGAUCAAUCAAGUUAAUUUGAAAGAUUUGUUUUUUUAAAGAAAAACAUUUAUUAGAACAUCAUUUUAGAAGUGGCUCGAGACUCGUAAAUAGACCCAUCUAUAUACGUCAUUUCUCAGUAUUAAAUGGAACUGAAAGACGGAAGCUAUAGCUCUCUUCAUGCAGGCGGGGGUGCUCGAAAAGCACAAUUGAUUUCUCCAAUUUUCAAGUGCGUUUGUGCUAAUUCUAAAACACCGUUUACCCAAUUUCUUAAAAUCAAUGGAUUUUACAGCCUUGCUUUGAGAAAGGAAAUGAGACACGAAAGGUUGCAAGAGCAGUUUUUGUUCCUCCAUUGCACAGCCAGGUAAUCAAGGUUACAAAGUUCUCCAAAAAGCACCAAAAUGUGUCUAAACAAGAAGGAAAGCUGAAACAUCAGUCUUGAAGAACAAAUUAAGUGUAUGAUUGGAUCAUCGUAACAUAAAUUUGAAACUGGGUGUUAAUUUGUGGCAUCAUCUUUUCUAGCUAAUGUUGAGCUUUCUUUUAUCAUUGUUCAGAUUGGCAGUUCAAUUUUUUUAGGGCAUAGAUUGUAGUACUGAUCAUGUGCAUAUGUUAUUCAAGGAUUGCGCCACCAGGACCUUACAUGUGAUUGCUUGUAUUUUCAGGCUUAUAUCCCUAAAAGUUGUCUUUGUUUCUCGACUAUUUCCAGCCAAGUACUUGUCCCACUUAUCGCUACCCUUAUUUGGACAAUUGAGCACCGGCCAACAUGCACAGAUGACAAGCUCAGUGCAUGGUGCAGUGUUUCUUGCCUUAUCACAACCUCCCACUACACUAUUUUCUAAGAAAUUAUGUGCAACAACCUUACCUUAUGUGCUUGUAUUUUGAGCUGUGAGGUUUGAACAACCUCAUGAUAAGCCUUUUGAAAUAGAAAAAAAUUCACUCUUUUCUUCUUUUUUCCAUUAGUUUUGUUACUGUAACUCGUUUAGCAUUUGAUAGAGGGUGCAUAUGGUCAGUCAAUGCACGGAUUACUGUCUCUCUAAUCCCCUCGCGCCGUUGUUUUCUUGGAUGAAAUUAAGGUAUGCAAGCUUUCUUGGCAAGUUAUAUUUGUUUUCAUAACCUCCAGGCAAAUCUGGAGGCAUUUCCACUCAUUUGUAUUUUGGGAUGCCUCUGCUGAUAUGGUAAUAUAAAUAUAGAGUUGCAAUCCACAUCGCUUGUGGCUAGCCCGAUCGAUCUUAAUAGUUUCUAUUUCUUUUUAAAAUUUUAAUAUCUAGAUAUUAGAAAAUUCAGAAAAAAUUUGGGGAUUCUUUUAGAUUUAUUUAUGAGCCUCUUAGAUGUUUUUUUUACGACCUUACUUGGUAUUGAAUUGUAAACUUAUACUGUGAAAUAUGAAUCUAAUAUACAAUACAUAUUUAUUUUUCUUUCUUUUUUCUAUCUAAAAAAUUAAUAAAAAUAUGUGUUUUGCUUUUAAUUUAAAGUUUACAAAUUUAUUCACUAAUAUCAGAGUAAAAAAAUAUUCAUAUGCACUAAUAUCAGAAUUAAAAAUAUUAACAAUAAGAUUGAGAUUUAAUUUGAAUCUCUAAUAUUUAUUUACAUCAAAGUCAACAAUACCAUACUUUUUUGUUAAAUAAUAUUUAUGAACGUCAUAAUUGAAAGCAUUUGUAUUUGAAUAUUUAUUGACACCAGCAUAAAAAAUGUUAUAUAAAAAUCAUCAAAAACAGAAUAAAAUUAAUAAUGAAUCCUGUUUCUGUUUAAAAAGUAAUAGUUUUUUUUUUUUUGUAUAAACAGUCUUGUAUCAUAAAAAAGAAUUUUACCAGUUAUGAUUUAUAGCGCACAUAAUAUUAGAUUCUCAUUUUUUAAAUUAGUUUUUUAAUUUUUGAAAGAACAAAAUAUUAUAUAUUUAUUCUUUUUACUAGAAAUCAUUAAACAUCAUCGCAAUGCUGGGUGCCAUAGAAACGAAUGAAACUUUUUGUAGGGAAUUUCAAAGAAAAGCCCAAAAAUCAUGAAAAAUCAAAACAAACAGAAACAAAAGAAAGGAAGAGAGAGAGAGGGGUAUAGAAGAAAGAUUUGAUAGGACUCAAACCUCAACGUUGAGUAGGUGUUCUAGUUGUUGCAUCCACCUUACUUGUGGUGGUCUGGUAGGGCUUGAACUCAAACACUGAGUUAGGAGACCGGAGAUCUUUUCCUCUUGUGAGAUGAAAUUGUAUGUAUCAUCUCUGCAUUGCAGAUUCACUGGCUCUAAAAUGAUGUUCCCAUAAAUUUUGCAGAAAUUCUUCGAUAACUAUGCGUAUCAAUCUCAUGGUUCUCGAACCAUUUCAAGAGCUUAAUUUGCCACAGAUGGACUCACACGUGUUAUGUAGUGCUUGGUUAUUGUUAAAAAAGAAAAACAAAAUACUGGGGUGAGAGAGGCUCGAACUCUCGACCUCAGGAUAACUCAGAAGCUAUGAGACCUACGCGCUAGCCAACUGCGCCACCACCCCUUGGUCGAUUCCUCCCAACUAAACAAUUUUAAACUUUAAAAGCUCAAAACGGAGAUCGUCAAAAGCUCAGGCUCAAUUUUCAGGGCUGUUUUUCUACACAAUGUACAGACUACAUAGUCGCUUUUAUAUGUUGUUGGCAAUGUCACAAUACAUCAGAACACUUGAUCCCAUGGAUUUCUAAAUCAUAAUUGGUCUAAUAAAUAACUAAUAAAACUAGAUCUAAAGGAAAAUGUUAAUUAUAAAAAACCUCUCAUAAGUUACAGUUAGAGAAUAAUAUAAAUUAUAUCUUGGAAUCUUAUUUAAUAGUUUAAGUUAAUGAAUUUAAAUAAUAAUUUGACAUGAUAUUAGAGUCUUGAUAUUGAUCAAGGGAUCACGGUUUCAAAUCUCAUCUUAUCCAUUUAUUUAAUAAAAACCAAACAUAAUUUAAUGCAGACUUGUGUAAAUUUCAAGUUUAAAGGAUAUUUAUUUAAAAGGAUGUGUUAGAAAAUAACAUAAAUUAUAUCUUGAAAUUUUAUCUAAAAAUUUAAGUUAUUGCAUUGAAAUGAUAACCCGACAUGAAAUACAACUCCAUAAUUAUUUCGUUCCUAUCAAAAAUACAAAUAAGGGAGCUAAUGAAACAAAACUAUAUAUAUAUUUUUAAAAACACACCUGUGCUACGAGAAAUUGUAGAAGAUUUUUGGACCUACCACGACGAGAAAUUGUAAAAGACAUUGAACCUUCCUAUUUUAAUCAAUCAUGAACUGCCGCCCAUUUAACAAGGGGAAUAUCUCUAAUCAAACCAGCAAAUAAAGUCGGAUAAAUAGUCUGAACCUUCUCAAAAUCCCAGGAAUGAUCAGUAGAAAUAAUGUCAGGAUAAGUCCGAUCCUCUAAUCUACUGAAGAGGAUAAUCACAAAUUAACCCCCUAGUUAUAUCGUAAGAAAAUAGAUCUACCAUGCAUGAUAAACAAAGAGCCCAACUCAGUUCUGUACGUGAAUUAUGGCUGCAUGACAGUGGUGACAGACCAACAGUUCAAGGAAUUGACAUGGGGACUGGCAAAUUGCAAUCAUCCAUUUUUAUGGAGGCCUGAUAUUUUUACCUAAAGAAUAUCACGGGAGAUGCAAGAACAGAGGGUUCCCAGCACCUUGGCGUCCUCAGGAUGAGGUACUUUAUGGAAUUCUAACUUGGAGAUUAUAUGUAAUUACCUAUAUAUGCGAUGAGCAACCGAUGAAUCGCCAGUAUUCUUACACUGUUUGGGGGGUUGGUAUGGAGAUUGACAAUAAUGCAAAGCGUGAGGAAAUCGAAGCCCUCGAUCGUUAAGCAAAUGAUGGAAGGGGAAGCAAAUGAAAAACAAGGCUUUGCAGUGGAAGAAGGAAGCUGAAGCUGCUGCUGCCAUUACAGGCUCAUCCGACAAUAAAUUCAUUGAGACUGUUUUAUGGUUGUCUUAUUUUUUGAAAAAACAAAUUAUGUACUCCAUUCUUCAAGAAUAACCUUUCAAGUUCUUUAAUUCCCUAACAACAUCAUGUCGGACCACAAAGCCAAUGAGACUGAGUCCCAAGCAGUCUUCAAUACAUAUAAAAUGGAAAAAUACAUGGUGAAGCAUACAAGAAGUGAGAUGACAGAAACAAACAGAAAAAUAUCACACCCAUACAAUACCAUUUAUUCUCUUACACUCUUCUAGACACGGAAAAGAGCCUCCUUGAUGAAUUUCUCGAAGUUAUUGUAAGAUGAUCCUCCAACAUUGGUAGCUGCUUCUGCUAUAUCUUUCCACUCCAGAGCCUUUUGCCUCAUUCGCUUCCCACUGUCCCCUUCUAUCAUUUCCUUGACAAGACUUUCAAUCUCGUUUCUCUUAACAUCAUGGUUGACCUCCACUCCAAUCCCCCAUUUGGUGCAUGCAUACCGGCAGUUCGGCUGUUGAUCGGCAAAAAAAGGCCAGCAGAUUACUGGAACGCCACAGGAUAUAGUUUCCAUCAUAGAAUUCCACCCACAAUGUGUUAGGAAAACUCCAACUGAUGGAUGUGCAAGAACUUGAUCCUGUGGACACCAGCUUGCUAAUAAUCCUCUACCGUCAAUUUGCUCAAGAAACUCUUCCGGCAAGAUUGCAGAAUCACCCAUCACUACAUCAGGCCUGAUUAUCCAUAAAAACGGUAGCUUACUAUUUGCCAGGCCCCAAGCAAAUUCUCUCAAGUGUGUGUCUGUCAUUACGGUCACACUUCCAUAAUUGAUGUACACAACAGAAUUAAGUCCUCUUUUAUCAAGCCAAUCAAGACAGUUUGAGUCUUCUUUCCAUAAACUUGAACCAAGUGAUCUGGAUUCGCUUUCAUCUGGGAUAUGCUUUAAUAGCAAGGGAAGAGGACCUAUUGAAUAAAUGUUAGGGAACUUGGUAGCAAUUAUAGACUCCAACACCUCAUUUUCGAAUUCGUUGAAUGUGUUGAAGAUAAUUGCAGGAGAGUUCAAGCAGUUCUCUGCUUCUGAUCCCAUAAAAUCAAACAUUAUUUCAUCGUUUGUGGUUCUGGUAAAGGUUGGCAUGUCUUUUAGCCGGAUGUUACUCAAACCAGGGAUCCAAUCAAUAGGCGUAUCUCCAUCUCGGAGUAAAUUUUCUUCUGAAACAACGGAAGGAUAAAAGUUUUAUGUCCUUGAUAAACAUUUUCUCAAACAAUAGAGAAAUAUCCAUGAGAGCAUGCUGCGUGCCCUCUUGGAUAGUACAAAACAGAUAAACGAAGAAAAGCCAGGAAAUACACACCUUUGUAUGGAACGAAGCCUCUUCUGGUGAGUUCACUGAAAUGCAAAUAUCCCAUGAAGCUACAAGCUGAGGCUGUCCAAAACUGAACCUGGGGAAUGCUAAACUCUUCUGCAGCUUUUAUUCCAAAGCUCAUGAUUCCAUCUGAGAUGACGCAAGUCACAGGAGGCACUUCAGAUGAUGAAUUCAACUUUGUAAGGAGCUCUUUAAAUGGGGCCAAACAAUUUUUCCUUGUUGAAUCACACAAGGACGGAACGUCCUGUGUUGCAUCAAAAUCAGACGGUGGCAAAGGCAAACCAUCCGGUAUGGUCUCAAACCGGAAAUCAGGCAGGCCUUCAACAGAGUCUGGUCCUCUGGACCGGAUUAAUCGCCUGUGGUUGAACUCCGUGUUAACGAAGGUUAUGUGAAAGCCUCUUGAGUGCAAAAGCUUGGCUAGGUGCAUCAUAGGGGUAACAUGGCCCUGUGAUGGAUAGGGAACACAUACUGCAUGUGGUUUUCUGGCUCCAGUCGAACUCAUGUUUUCUCUGAGGCACUGAAAUGAAAUGCUUUCCUGGUUUUUCUUGGCC
Molecule: long non-coding RNA, 6647 nt
Filed under: Populus tremula
Lineage: Eukaryota; Viridiplantae; Streptophyta; Magnoliopsida; Malpighiales; Salicaceae
Description: long non-coding RNA (PTRE_LNC002402)
Source: RNAcentral